UCGACGGCAGCACGGGAGCAAUCCUGGUGGCGAGUGGCGAACGGGUGAGUAAUAUAUCGGAACGUGCCCAGUCGUGGGGGAUAACGUAGCGAAAGCUACGCUAAUACCGCAUACGAUCUAUGGAUGAAAGCGGGGGAUCGCAAGACCUCGCGCGAUUGGAGCGGCCGAUAUCAGAUUAGCUAGUUGGUGAGGUGAAGGCUCACCAAGGCGACGAUCUGUAGCUGGUCUGAGAGGACGACCAGCCACACUGGAACUGAGACACGGUCCAGACUCCUACGGGAGGCAGCAGUGGGGAAUUUUGGACAAUGGGCGAAAGCCUGAUCCAGCAAUGCCGCGUGCAGGAUGAAGGCCUUCGGGUUGUAAACUGCUUUUGUACGGAACGAAAAAGCUUUCUCUAAUAAAGAGAGCUCAUGACGGUACCGUAAGAAUAAGCACCGGCUAACUACGUGCCAGCAGCCGCGGUAAUACGUAGGGUGCGAGCGUUAAUCGGAAUUACUGGGCGUAAAGCGUGCGCAGGCGGUUAUGUAAGACAGGUGUGGAAUCCCCGGGCUCAACCUGGGACCUGCAUUUGUGACUGCAUAGCUAGAGUACGGUAGAGGGGGAUGGAAUUCCGCGUGUAGCAGUGAAAUGCGUAGAUAUGCGGAGGAACACCGAUGGC
Molecule: ribosomal RNA, 658 nt
Filed under: uncultured bacterium
Lineage: Bacteria
Description: bacterial SSU rRNA
Rfam family: Bacterial small subunit ribosomal RNA
Source: RNAcentral